RNAcentral lists this transfer RNA (78 nucleotides) under Salmo salar (Atlantic salmon). It matches the Rfam family "tRNA", at positions 8 to 63 of the family's 71-position model. Rfam says of the family: Transfer RNA (tRNA) molecules are approximately 80 nucleotides in length. Their secondary structure includes four short double-helical elements and three loops (D, anti-codon, and T loops). The record is from Rfam by way of RNAcentral. Lineage: Eukaryota; Metazoa; Chordata; Actinopteri; Salmoniformes; Salmonidae.
UGGCUCAGUUGGUAGAGCAUGGUGUUUGUAACGCCAGCAUGGUGUGUGCAACGCCAGGGUUGUGGGUUCAAUUCCCAC